UGUGGCUUCUUACUACUUUCAGUUGCACCAGUGUAACCUUGUCUCCAGAACCUGAACUGUCACCUCUGUAUCCAAAAUCCCUGCAUUUGAGGAUGUCUUUCCAGGCAUCAAUUGGAGUUGCGGGAAGAUGAAGAAUAAUGAAGAAUAAAGCUGAAUGAAUCCUGAUAAAAUGGACAUUGCUGUGUUUGGACUGCAAUUUGUGGUGUGCCAAUCAUCUCAGAUGCUGGAGAUGGGGAUCUCUGCAAAUAACAGAAGAAAAACCGCACAUCCCUUUUCAAUUUGCAAAUGUCUUUCAAGUUGGUGCAUGCAGAUUCUGGAGCUUGGGUCAGGGGCCCACACACAAUAUAACAGCAAACAAGGAUCUCUCCGCAGCACACAAU
Hyla sarda is the source of this 380-nucleotide long non-coding RNA. RefSeq lists it as uncharacterized. Lineage: Eukaryota; Metazoa; Chordata; Amphibia; Anura; Hylidae. The transcript is spliced from 3 exons. The record is from RefSeq and is a predicted model, not a curated record.